RNAcentral lists this non-coding RNA (105 nucleotides) under unclassified sequences. RNAcentral describes it as "c-di-GMP sequence". It matches the Rfam family "c-di-GMP-II-GAG riboswitch aptamer". The record is from Rfam by way of RNAcentral.
GGGACACGCGGAGGCAGUGACACCCAGGGGACGCUCGGUCGCCCAGCGAUGAAACAGCGUCGCACCCCUUGGGAAGAGCCAGUGGCGAGACCGGCCGUUCGCAUC